GCCAGAGGGAUGCAGUGGUUUGAGCGCCGGACUGUGACUCUGGAGACCAGGGUUCGAAUCCCUGCUCAACCA
Molecule: non-coding RNA, 72 nt
Organism: Phrynosoma platyrhinos (Desert horned lizard)
Lineage: Eukaryota; Metazoa; Chordata; Lepidosauria; Squamata; Phrynosomatidae
Source: the annotation of a GenBank genome assembly